AGUUGUGUCCCGACAGCCAUCGGGAUAGGUCGUGCUUGAUACGAUUGAGGUUACGUUCGUGUUACGUUAAAAAAAUCUUUCGUAACUUUUCGAAAUCCGUGUGACAUGUGUACAGUGGAAGUUGGUGUGAAUUUUGCUAUUUCGUGAUCGUUGCCAAUAAUUUAGGAUGAAAAUAGUACUGAAUUAUUUUUGACGAGGACGCUAACCGCGGUUAGCCCACUUAAGACACCUAUAAGAAUUUUUAUGUUGAUUCAGCUACACUCAAGAUUUAUCAGGUAAUCUUCGAUACGACUCUUG
Molecule: unclassified non-coding RNA, 297 nt
Filed under: Melitaea cinxia (Glanville fritillary)
Lineage: Eukaryota; Metazoa; Arthropoda; Insecta; Lepidoptera; Nymphalidae
Description: misc RNA ENSMCXG00005012454.1
Source: RNAcentral